RNAcentral lists this ribosomal RNA (423 nucleotides) under uncultured archaeon. Its description in RNAcentral is "bacterial SSU rRNA". It matches the Rfam family "Archaeal small subunit ribosomal RNA", at positions 325 to 747 of the family's 1478-position model. The record is from RNAcentral.
ACGGGGUGCAGCAGGCGCGAAACCUUUACACUGCACGACAGUGCGAUAGGGGGAUUCCGAGUGCGAGGGCAUACAGUCCUCGCUUUUCUGGACCGUAAGGAGGUCCAAGAAUAAGGGCUGGGCAAGACCGGUGCCAGCCGCCGCGGUAAUACCGGCAGCCCGAGUGAUGGCCGAUAUUAUUGGGCCUAAAGCGUCCGUAGCUGGCCAGACAAGUCCGUUGGGAAAUCCACGCGCUCAACGCGUGGGCGUCCAGCGGAAACUGCCUGGCUUGGGGCCGGAGGACUCGAGGGGUACGUCCGGGGUAGGAGUGAAAUCCCGUAAUCCUGGACGGACCACCGGUGGCGAAAGCGCCUCGAGAGGACGGACCCGACAGUGAGGGACGAAAGCCAGGGUCUCGAACCGGAUUAGAUACCCCUGUAGUCC